AGUGAACGCUGGCGGCGUGCCUAACACAUGCAAGUCGAACGGGCUAGUGCUUCGCACUAGUCUCUUUCUGGGGUUGUUACUCUAAGGCUACCUGCUAAGGUUAUUGCUUUAAAGCAGGGGUUUUAGGAGACUUUCCCCGAAAGGGGCCAGUGCGGAGCACUGGCCAGUGGCGAACGGGUGAGUAACACGUGGGUAAUCUACCCUCGAGUGGGGAAUAAGCUUCCGAAAGGGGGUCUAAUGCCGCAUAACGUUUCAUAACGAUGGUUAUGAAACCAAAGCCCAAAAGGCGCUCGAGGAGGAGCCUGCGUCCUAUCAGCUUGUUGGCAGGGUAAUGGCCUACCAAGGCUAUGACGGGUAGCCGGCCUGAGAGGGUGUCCGGCCACACUGGAACUGAGACACGGUCCAGACUCCUACGGGAGGCAGCAGUGGGGAAUUUUGCGCAAUGGGGGAAACCCUGACGCAGCGACGCCGCGUGGAGGAUGACGGCCUCGGUUGUAACUCCUACGUCAGAAGGACGAA
RNAcentral lists this ribosomal RNA (519 nucleotides) under uncultured bacterium. RNAcentral's name for it is "bacterial SSU rRNA". It matches the Rfam family "Bacterial small subunit ribosomal RNA", at positions 29 to 449 of the family's 1533-position model. The record is from RNAcentral.